RNAcentral lists this ribosomal RNA (253 nucleotides) under uncultured bacterium. RNAcentral's name for it is "partial 16S ribosomal RNA". It matches the Rfam family "Bacterial small subunit ribosomal RNA", at positions 524 to 776 of the family's 1533-position model. The record is from RNAcentral.
UACGGGGGGGGUAAGCGUUGUUCGGAAUUACUGGGCGUAAAGGGCUCGUAGGCGGCCAACUAAGUCGGACGUGAAAUCCCUCAGCUUAACUGGGGAACUGCGUCCGAUACUGGAUGGCUUGGAUUUGGGAGAGGGAUGCGGAAUUCCAGGUGUAGCGGUGAAAUGCGUAGAUAUCAGGAGGAACACCGGUGGCGAAGGCGGCUUUCUGGACAGUAACCGACGCUGAGGCGCGAAAGCUAGGGGAGCAAACAGG